Molecule: long non-coding RNA, 7848 nt
Filed under: Actinidia chinensis (golden kiwifruit)
Lineage: Eukaryota; Viridiplantae; Streptophyta; Magnoliopsida; Ericales; Actinidiaceae
Description: long non-coding RNA (ACHI_LNC001225)
Source: RNAcentral
CUUUCGCCCAAGAAAGGUGAACAAAAUAGUCAUAUUCAUACUUGAUAUAAAAGCAUAGGAGGUUGAAUGAUAGAAUUAAAUGUGAAUAGCGUAAAUUGAAACUUUGAUGAAAGUGCAAGGGUAAAAAGUGUUAGUAACCAUUCCUAAGUGAACUCACUCACAACUACUGGGUGUUACAAAGUUGUACUACAAGUGAGCUUGUAGUACAAAGUACAAACUGUAAUGGUUCAUUAACUUAUAAAACUUAACACAAUUUAUAUAUAAGAGUGGGGGAGUGAGAGAGAGGAUGAUCAGGGCGGUUUUCGACAUUUGGGUUGUCUUAAUCCAAUUUCAAUAUAGUUACUUUCGUACUAUUAAAUUUCUUUCUUGAAUUUAAAUUUUUUUUGGAGGGCCUGAUGUUUGUUCUGCUUUGGGGUUGUCCAAAUCCAAUGCUUUGCUGGGCUUACCCCAAUACCGGCACGAGGAUGACAAGAAUUAGCAUCGGAAAAAAUCCAACGUAGAAUUUUUCUUCAAACUAUUCUAGCAGCAGCAAGAGUCGUAAAUGGAAAGGUCGUUUGCCAAGGACGUACAAGGUAAUUUACAGAACAAAUCCUUCCCAAGUAAGGCGGUUGUUUUUAUUUACUCUAUUUUUCUUCCCAAGUAAGAUAAGUUACAGAACAAAUCCUUCCCAAGUAAUCAAAUUUAACCAUUAGAUUACAAUUUAUGUGGACCACACACCUUUGAAAAGAUAAAAAUAAUAUUUUUGGAGAAAAAAAUAGUCUCAGGUCAGUCAUUAGAUUAAUUCAAAUGGAUUUUAACCAUAAAUAAUGGGAGAUAAUUUAAAAUAUUUAAAAACAGUUGUGUCUUAUGUACAAGUCUUAAUUCGUUUAUCAAUCCUUUGAAUACUUGAAUAUUUAUAUAUUUUUAUAUAUUUUAAAUGACAAAUACAAAUACGAUAGAUUCAAACACAGAUGCUGACGUGUCAAACACAUCUCAUUCUGUAGAAAACAAAUUAAACUAGCUAAGUUAAUAUGUGUACAUGUCCUAUUCAUUUUUCAAUUUUGUGAAUACUUGGAUAUUUAUUAUUUUUUAUAUAGUUUAAAUGACAGAUAUAAAUAUGGCAGAUCGACAGAUACUAUGUGUCACACAUCUCAGUCUACAAGAAAACAAAUUAAAUCAGCUAAGAUGAUAUGUGUUUGACACAUCAACAUCUUUAAAUUAAACCAAUUGAAUUAAUACGUGCGUGAAUCUGUAAUUUAUAUCUAUGCACCUAAGGGUAUGUUUGGCUGGUGGAUUAGGAGGGGAUAACUUUUUUCCUCGGAUAAUUUUUUCCCCCGCGUUUGGCUGGCGGAUAUGGGCGGAUAUGGAGGCGGAUAUAUAAAUUUUUCCCCCGGAUAAUUUUUCCCCUAGCAGGUGGAUAGAGGCGAAAAUGUUUAGGUGACCUAGAACCCUAACAAAAGUUAUCCGGGAAUAAGGGGGGUGGGGAUAGAAAAAAUAUAUAUAAAGAGAAACAAGGUUAAUUUUUUUUUAUAUAUAUAGAAAAAAAUAAACAUAUUAGAUUUUUAAUAUCAAGAUAUUUUACAUUUGUUUCUCUCAAUAUCUGUACUCCUUGUAUAUCACACCUUAUCCACUCAUUCUAAAAAGUAUCAAAAAUAAAGUUAAAAGUUAUCUCCCUUCAAAACUUAUUCCCCUUCUAAAAAUUAUUCUCUCUAAAAGUUAUUCUCCUCCGAUCCUCUAGCCAAACGGACCCCUAACCUCAAUCCAUCCCCCCUAGAAGGGUAACCUGGCUAUGAAAUUUCCAAAUUUAUAUAGCCAUUGGUCCAAAUGCAUUUAUGAAGGGCCCACAACAUUAAAUUCUAUGUUUUGAGGUUAACCUCAACUUGGCUAAAGCCGCUUCCCACGUGAUCCCGUGGAUGACCAAAUUGAAUGGUUGACAAUUCAUAGGAGGAUAGUUUUCGCAAACUUUGGUUUUUUCGAAUUGCACUUUUUUAUAUUUUUAUUAAAUAAAAUUACUUAAAUAUAUUUUUAUAUUAUUAAAAAUAAAAUAAUACAAAAUAUAAAAGUAUUUGGAUAAUUUUAUCUACUAAAAAAGAAAGUGCAAAUUAAAGAAACAGAAAUAAAAAAAUCAAGGACGGCCAUGUACCUAGAGUGAGUACAUUAAUAGAUAUCAGGUUCUAAGUUGCGCUAGCUAAAUUAAUUCAAUUUUAAAUUUAUUUAUAAUUUUUUUUACCUGAUUUUAUUAUUUUUAAUGAUUAAAAUUUCAUUGUUUUUUAUCAAAAUUAUUUAUCUUUGUCUUUUAGAUAAUUUGUUGAGUAUAACUUUAAUUUUUUAUAUUUUAAAAUUAUUUUUGUUAAGAGAAAUUAAAAAAUUAAAAAAUUUAAUUUAACGAUAAAAAAAUGACUAAAACAAAAGCUAACAAAACAAAAUAACUAUGCAAGACAAAGGCCGGCGGCCGGCCCCCUAUUGAAAAAUAGGCAUGCAUAAAGACAAGGGCAGCGCUAGCUAGACACGGUGCAUACUUGGCAGAGAUUAUUGUACGAUUUUUUUUGUUUUAAAAAUUGUAUCAGAGUAUUUGAUAUAAUUUUUAUUUUUAUUUUUAUUUGUGAAUUAAGAAUAAUUUAUAAAAAUUAAAAAAUAACUGAUUUUUUGAAAGCUUUAUUAUGAAAUUUUUCAAGUUAUGUUCAAUUGUAUUAAACACCCUCAUAAAAUAUGAAGUCUAUUCAUUUAAGGUGUGUUUGGAUAAAAAAUUUAUUAAAAAGAAAAAAGAAAAAGCUCCGGACUAAAUUAAAUUUUUGAGCGAUUGGAUUUACAAUGUUUCUUCUUUAAUUUUUUUUUUCCUUCAUUAAAUUGUUAAUAUUGAUAAAAAGAAUUUUUUUUAAAUUUAGGAUAUUACUAAUUUGACUGCUGUGUAAUUCACACUUCGUCUUGGUAAUUAGUUACUCCCACCCCUGACAACCCCACCCCUUAACGUGACUAAUAAAUUUUUUUAAUUUUUUACUUUUACCAUAAUUCCCCUACCAACUUCCACUUUACCAUUAACCAUUUAAUUCUUUUUUUUUUAAUACCACUGUUAUUUAUUAAAAAGAUAUUCAAAAAUUUUUAAUUUCUUUUAAUUUUAGCUUCCGAAAUUUUAUAAUUUCUUUUACUCCCACCUUAUAUUUUUAUAAAAAUAAAAAAUAUAGAGCAAGAUCUGUAAUAAUUUUUUAAAUUUUCUCUCAAUUUAUAAAAUUUAAUGCAAAACUAAUUAAUAUAUAUUUUUUUAAAACACUAAAGCGAAACAUUUAGAAUUUAUUCAACUAAAUAAAUUUCACUCAACUACAUAAAUUUUUUUUAAAACACUAAAGCGAAAAAAAAAAUAUCUGGAUUUUUAGCUUUAAUUUUUUUAUCUUAAAAAAUUUAUGUUAAUUAGUUUUGUAUUAAAUUUAUAAAUUGAGAGAAAUUUUUAAAAAAAAAUUACAGAUUUUGAUCCAUAUUUUUUUCUUUUAUAAAAAACUAGAUGUGGGAGUAAAAGAAAUUAUAAAAUUUUAUUAUAAAAAUUUUUUUAUAUAAAAAUUUAGAAGGUGAAAGUAAAAAAAAAUUAAAAAUUUUUGAUUAAAUUUUUUUUAAUAAAUAACAAGAAGGUAGUAUUAAAAGGAAAAAAAAUUAAUAGGUGAGAGAGAGAUGAGAGAGAUAAGAAGAAGGGUAAAAUUGAAAAAAAAAAGAAUUUUAUGGCACAUCAUCCCCCCCUGUCAGGGGGAUUGGGGAAAACAGUUCUCUUCAUCUUGGCACCACCAGGCCUGAAUUGGGACCAAAGUUACCAAAACACCCUCAUGAUCAUCCUUAGCCCUCAAAGUCCUAGAACAAUGAAAAGAUAUAUUUCAUACAUACAAUAAUACACUUGUGAUAGCAAUAUCCAUGACUCAUCGCAAGCACAUAUCUAGACAAAAAUUCAAGAAGAAAAAUGUUACUUUACUUAAAAUAUAUAUCAUAAUAUGGUACUAAAAGAUUCACAAUUAAUCAUGUUAUUCGGUAUUCAUCGGUUUUCAAGUCCUCUAACAGGUUAGUUAUCCCCAACCUGAGGCAGGUCUUGAUCUUUGUGGGGCCUUCCUUGUGCCUAUGUGGCGCGUGGACGAAGCUUCCCAUGAACCUAGAGUCCUCGGUCGGAUCGUCCUUGUCGUUGAUGAGCACAUCGAAUUGAAAUUCUACCUUGGAACCUUUUUGAAAAGAUGAGUUCCGACAAGGUUGAAUAUUGAAUUCCAACUAAUCACUAAUAAUUCUAUGUACUAACAAAAAAAGAUGAUAAUAAUAAUAAUAAUAAUAAUAUAAUUAUUUUAAAAAAUUCCCCAUAAAAAGAAAACGAACUUAUGAAAUUUUAGGUCCAAUUUUACCUCAGUGGUGGUUGAUGUUUUUUCUGCUGCCAUGGCCAAUUGCCUCCUCCUUCCUGGGCACUUUCAAACUGAUGGAGGAUCUGAACUGGAUUGCUGGACAGCACCAUUAAAGUCAAUGCAACAUCAAGGGAAAAAGAUUAGGUCAAAUUAAUAAAAUACUUAAUGGUGGGAACUGGCUCAAACUAUUACUUUAUAUAUUACUUUGGAGAAAACUCAUUUCAGUGGCAUAUUGAGAAAAAUAUAUCAAAUUAGAUGUAUAAUGCAAAAUUAUCUCCAAUAAAUGGAGACGCAGACAUCUAAAAUAAUAUUAUAAAUAUGAGAUUAUUCGUUAAAUGGCGCCAAUGAAGUGAGUGGAAUGAUUGUCUGAUGCAAAUAAAAAAGUGAAUAGUUGAAUAUUUUUUUAGGUAAAACACUUGCAUCUCACACUUAUUUUAUUUGUACGAGAUAGAUAAUUUAUUUACACUCAGUCUUAUAUUUUUUUAGAAAUUCGUUUAGUUGACGUUUCUUAAAACUUAUUUUUUUGAUAGUUUUUUUAAAUAAUUAUUUUUGAGAAAACAUUAGAUAUACGUUUUUAAAUUCUUGAAAACUAUUUUUAUUAGAAACUAAAUAACAUAUGAAAAAGGUAAAUGUUUAGAGCAUUCAUAUUAGUUUUACUAUUUAUUCAUUCUAUUUUUAAGAAUUUUUUUCAACCAUCAUAUUUGUUAAAUGGUCAUAUUAUUCCAACGGCGAUAUUUUUUAAAUGAUAUAUUUUUAAAAUGGUUAUAUUUUUAAGAAUGUCGUAUUAUUCAAACGGUUGUAUUUUUUAAAAUAUAUUUUAAAAUGAACAUUUUUUUGACUCAUAUAUUUUUAAUUAAAUGGUAUACAGAUAAAAAAACUAAUUUUAAAAAAUAAAAUAAUUUAAAAUAAAUAUUUUCAAUAAUUAAAUUAUUAAAUAUUAACUUUUAUCCAACUUGAUACCUAGCAGCCUAUCCUCUUACAGCGUCGGCAAAGACUAUGAAUUCUUGGGGACCGCAAAACUUACCCUGAUCCGACUAUAGCGCAUAUGUUCAAUAAUCAUGUUUAAUAAAUACAAAGUCUACUAGUGUAAGAAAUUAAAAUUAUAUCAUUUUUCAUAGUCAAGACAAAAGUAUUAAAAUUUUGCGCUCCAGUCUUACUGAUAGUGUAUCUAGUUUCAUCUAAGAUUUUGAACAAUAUAAGUCUAAUCUUUCGUGUGUAAGCAGUAUUCUUCUACACGUCAAAUUAUCUAUUUUUUAGAAUAAGAGACAUCCAUGCUUAAGUAUUAAAUAAAUAAUACAAAUACAAACAUUACUUACACAAAUUAUUAUUAUAAUGGAAUAAAUAAUUUAUUAAUAACACUAAAUUCAUUAAUAAUUGAAUAGUUUCUAUGAGUGAGUUGUCAAAUAAAACCUUAUCUAGUCCAGAUUGGGAUGGGCCCACUCCCUUAUCGUCAACCAUCGGAUGAGAAAAUCUAACACGUGAAAGAAAUAUACCAUACUGGUAGUGGUCCUGCCUAGGGAUGGCAACGGGCCGGUUGGGCCUCCCCCACCCCCACCCCGACCCCGUUUAUCAAAACUCACUCCCGCCCUCGCCCCACCCCGCCCCAUUUAGUAAUUUUAUUAAUUAUAUAUAUAUUUUUUUAUAUAAUUAUGGUAUAAUAUAUAUAUAAUAAGGAUAUUAUGAUAAUUUUUUAAAAAUCUGAUUAAUUUUUAUUUUUUUAUAUAAAUCGGGGAAACUCGGGCGGGUUUCGGGGUUGGAGGAGGCUUUUACCCCGCCCCGCCCGUGUAAUCGGGUGUUAAUUUUUUCCCCAAACAGCCCUAAAACGGGACCGGGGCCUGACGGGACGGGUUCUUAGGGUCAAAUUGCCCAUCCCUAGUCCUGCUCUUUGGUACCCGAAUUUCCACAAAGCAUAUUCUUUUUUUUUUUAAAUAAAAUGAUGUGAUGGCCACAUUAUUUAUGUGCUUAUGCUAAGAUGCCAAAAUUAGCUUUAAAUUUUUUUUUGAGAAACUCAAUUUAGAUUCUUUUUAACUUUUAAUUUAAAUAGUCAAGUAUUAACGAAUAUUUAGCUACAACAAACACCCAUGACUAGAUUUAUAGUCUCUACCUUAGUAUUAUUAUGGUUUUUCGCUCACGAGAGCCAAAAUGAAUAUUUAGUGGGAUCAAAAAAAUUAAAAUUUAUAUUUUGCGAGAUUAAAAGAGUUAGAAUUUAUGUUCAGUGGGGUUAAAAUUAUAAAAUAUAUAAAUUUUAUAAUAAAUUAUUAAUUUUUGUAAGGUCAAAAUUAUAUUUAUGAUAAAUUAUAUUAAAAAAAAUGAUAUAUUUUUUUUCAAUGGGGUCAAUUAACCCCACUUGCUCCUACAUGACUCCGACACUACUUUCGCCCAAGGUGAACAAAAUGAUUAUAUUCAUAUUUGACUUAAAGUAUAAAAUGUUAAUUGACAAAAAUUAAAAGUGAAAAGCAUAAAUUGAAACUUUGAUGAAAGUGAAAGGGUAAAAAGUGUAAGUAACCAUUCUUAAGUGAACUCCCAACUACUGGGUAUUACAAAGUUGUACUACAAAUGAGCUUGUAGUACAAAGUACAAACAGAGAUGGUUCAUUAAAUUAUAAAACCUAACACAAUCCCUAUAUGGCAUUGGAAAAAAACUGUCGAAGAUUUUUCUUCAACCUAUUCUAGCAGCAGCAAGAUUCGUAAAUGGAAAGGUCGUUUCUUUGUUAGCAUUCAAGCCAAGGGCGUACAAGGUAAUUUACAGAACAAAUCCUUCCCUGAUUGUUUUUAUUUACUCUAUUUUUCUUCCAAAGUAAGGUAAUUUACGGAACAAAUUCUUCUCUUGUAAGGUAUUUUAGUCAUUAGAUUACAACUUAUGUAAGCUCUACACUUAAUAAGAAAGUGAUAUUUUUUGAGGAAAAAAAUAGUUUCAUGCGAAAUCUCAGCUAGUGGAUUAACUCAAAUAGAUUCUAACAGUUUGAAAGAUAAUUUAAAAAAUUUAAAAAUAUUUAUGUUUUAUAUUAUAGAUAUGUACAAGUCUUAAUUCGUUUAUCGAUCCUUUGAAUACUUGGAUAUUUAUAUAUUUUUUUAUAUUUUAAAUGACAGAUACAAAUACGAUAGGUUCAAACACAGAUGUUAAUGGGUCAAACACAUCUCAUUCUAUACAAAAACAAAUUAAACCAGCUGGGUUAAUAUGCGUACAAGUCUUAUUCAUUUUUCAAUUCUUUGAAUACUUGGAUAUUUAUAUAUUUUUUAUUUAUUUUAAAUGACAGAUAUAAAUACGGCAAAUAGACAUAUACUAAAUUAUAUGGUGUGCAUUUGGAUUAAAGAUUCAACAACUUAUACUAUUAAAUCGUUGAAUACAUAGCCCGAGAGGCUUGUUCAUCACAAGUGGCUUACAGUACGAAAAACAAAUGAAAUAAGAAAAAUGCUACUUCUACAUAAACCAUACAUAAAAAAUCUCACAAAACGAUGCAAUGGUGACUUAUUUUAUUUUUAAAUGAAACAUGGAUUCACGUUCU